GUGCGGUCUCUCGUGUGCGGAAUAUAGACUAUUGAUGGUUAUUAAGAUAAUAACAAUACCGGCUGGAAUAUAAAUUAACUUAUGGACUAUGUAAUAUAUUUUUAAACCUUGUUUAUAGUUUAUCAGCUUUAAGAAAAAUAAUUAUCCAUUAUUAAUGUUACUAUUAUUUUGCCAUUUAUUUUUCUGUCGACUGUCACCACUCACUCGUACCUGGUCCAUGUGUUUUCUGAAUAAAGUAAGUAUUUAAUCAAAACAAAUUAUAGGUACUUUAAGGUAUUAGUUAUAAGGUAUUUUUUUCAAUAAUCGACCAAGUGCCAGUUGAUUUAGAG
Non-coding RNA from Cinara cedri, 329 nucleotides. The record is from the annotation of a GenBank genome assembly. Lineage: Eukaryota; Metazoa; Arthropoda; Insecta; Hemiptera; Aphididae.